AUUGAACGCUGGCGGCAUGCUUUACACAUGCAAGUCGAACGGCAGCGCGGGCUUCGGCCUGGCGGCGAGUGGCGAACGGGGGAGUAAUACAUCGGAACGUGCCCAGUAGUGGGGGAUAGCUCGGCGAAAGCCGGAGUAAUACCGCAUACGACCUGAGGGUGAAAGCGGGGGAGCUUCGGACCUCGGGGUAUUGGAGGGGCGGAUGGCAGAUUAGCUAGUUGGUGGGGUAGAGGCCUACCAAGGCGUCGAUGGGUAGCUGGCCUGAGAGGGCGACCGGCCACAUUGGGACGGAGAUACGGCCCAGGCUCCUACGGGAGGGAGCAGUGGGGAAUAGUAGACAAUAGGCGGAAGCCUGAUGCAGCAACGCCGCGUGCGGGAUGACGGCCUUCGGGUUGUAAACCGCAUUCGCCUGUGACGAAGCGUGAGUGACGGUAAUGGGUAAAGAAGCACCGGCUAACUACGUG
RNAcentral lists this ribosomal RNA (464 nucleotides) under uncultured bacterium. Its description in RNAcentral is "partial 16S ribosomal RNA". It matches the Rfam family "Bacterial small subunit ribosomal RNA", at positions 28 to 507 of the family's 1533-position model. The record is from RNAcentral.